Sapajus apella (tufted capuchin) is the source of this 687-nucleotide long non-coding RNA. RefSeq lists it as uncharacterized. The transcript is spliced from 3 exons. The record is from RefSeq and is a predicted model, not a curated record. NCBI's taxonomy places the organism in Eukaryota, Metazoa, Chordata, Mammalia, Primates, Cebidae.
CUACGAUACACACCUCUUCUGUUUUGCUGUUUUUAUUAUUGUGACUCUGGCAACCAAAAUUUUACUUGAUGGUACUAUAAAUGUGACUAUUUUGGAUAUUUCAUGGGUACAAGCUGGGAAAGGGGAGAAAUGAAUCAUGCUACAGGCCGAGUGUCCAUCACUGAUUCCCAGAGACGCCCUUUGUGAGGUAGGCACUUCACGUGGACUCUCUACAAGGGCAUAUGCAUGGGUCCAAGAUACGUAUCCCUUAGCUAUGGCCCGUAUUCCAGCUUGUAGGCCUUUGCUAAGGACAUCCCCCUCACCAGUGACCAACUCUGGUCCCAGCUCCUGGUUACAUCCUUCAGUGUCCACAAACCCACAGAGGCUCCUCAUUCUCCAUGGUGGGAGCACAGCUUUUCCUGCUGAUUCCUCGUCUUUGCCCUGGCAUUUCUCCCAAUUUUGUUCUGUCUCUACUCAAAUAGGCAUGAAGCAGGGGCAGAUGAGAAAGUAUGAUGUUCAACCAUCCUGCAACCAAAGAACCAAGUGCUACAUGGUAAUCAUUGCACGUGCCUCCAGUCUCUACCGGGGAUGCCUCAGAGUCACCCUUUCAUGCCGUGAAAUGAGGAGCGACCCUUCUGCUCCCGUUGUGGAGAAGAAGGGAAUAAACACACCCACAUACACGACAUUGUCCUGCUGUUAUCCUGGAAU